GAUGAACGCUGGCGGCGUGCCUAAUACAUGCAAGUCGAGCGAACAGACGAGGAGCUUGCUCCUCUGACGUUAGCGGCGGACGGGUGAGUAAAACGUGGAUAACCUACCUAUAAGACUGGGAUAACUUCGGGAAACCGGAGCUAAUACCGGAUAACAUGUUGAACCGCAUGGUUCAACAGUGAAAGACGGUCUUGCUGUCACUUAUAGAUGGAUCCGCGCCUCAUUAGCUAGUUGGUAAGGUAACGGCUUACCAAGGCAACGAUGCGUAGCCGACCUGAGAGGGUGAUCGGCCACCCUGGAACUGAGACACGGUCCAGACUCCUACGGGAGGCAGCAGUAGGGAAUCUUCCGCAAUGGGCGAAAGCCUGACGGAGCAACGCCGCGUGAGUGAUGAAGGUCUUCGGAUCGUAAAACUCUGUUAUUAGGGAAGAACAAAUGUGUAAGUAACUAUGCACGUCUUGACGGUACCUAAUCAGAAGGCCACGGCUAACUACGUG
This 497-nucleotide ribosomal RNA is filed under the name uncultured bacterium. Its description in RNAcentral is "partial 16S ribosomal RNA". It matches the Rfam family "Bacterial small subunit ribosomal RNA", at positions 28 to 507 of the family's 1533-position model. The record is from RNAcentral.